RNAcentral lists this ribosomal RNA (217 nucleotides) under Oxyrrhis marina. RNAcentral describes it as "partial Bacterial small subunit ribosomal RNA". It matches the Rfam family "Bacterial small subunit ribosomal RNA", at positions 1109 to 1325 of the family's 1533-position model. Lineage: Eukaryota; Dinophyceae; Oxyrrhinales; Oxyrrhinaceae. The record is from RNAcentral.
CCUUAUUUGCCAGCACGUAAUGGUGGGAACUCUAAGGAGACUGCCGGUGACAAACCGGAGGAAGGUGGGGACGACGUCAAGUCAUCAUGGCCCUUACGGCCUGGGCUACACACGUGCUACAAUGGAACGUACAGAGGGCAGCAAAGCGGCGACGUGGAGCGAAUCCCGCAAAACGUUUCGUAGUCCGGAUCGGAGUCUGCAACUCGACUCCGUGAAG